UUUAUUAAAAAUCCUUUUUUGUGUAACUAAUCCCCCAACACUGAACCACAUGCUUUACUCAUCUGUUACUUCACUUGUUGCAUACAGAGAUGGUGAAUUUUCUACUGAAUUGUUUAUAUUUCUAAAUGCAUAUCUGACAUUUAUAGCCUUUUAUGUAUGUUACAUAUUUUGCUAUGAUACAUUGAAGUGAUGUUUUUCAUUCUGACAAGUUUACUGUUUUGUACUGCCGAAAUCAGGGAUUUUUAAAAAUAAAUGAUUCUGUUACGCCUUUGCAUUGGUGAGCAGGAGGCAUAGUUUGUCUUUUGGUGAAAUUAAAAUACCCUGUGUCUACUAUGUGUUUACAGUGGGAUCGUUAAUGCAUGUUAAUUACCCUUCGAUAAAAACACAUUUUCUUUGCAGCGAGGGGACAAACGAUAAUGCUGACUCAAAGAUGUUAAAUGCACCAUUAUUGUUUAUGACUUGACAACUCUGAUACUGAUUGUGCUAAUAAGAUGCCUCCUUUGCCAUCAGAGGUAUUUGUGUAUGAAUAUCAGCAGCCUCCUCCCCAUUUAUGUUCUACCUGCUCGCAACCACUUGAUGUAAACCUUAUCCUUUCCUCUGUGCUCCCAGGAAAAUGUAAAUACAAACACAGCAUUGUCUCUUACACCUUUUCUUACAUUAUGAUGGUAAUAAUAAUGAGUCUAUGACUGCAAUAGCCACAAAGGUGUGAUGACACAGUCCAAUAGGCUGCAACAAAAUAUUUUCAGCUCACUUAAAACAUUUAGAUGUUGCAUCUAAGCAUACAUGCAGAGUGCAGGGCUGAUCACCUGGCCCUGGAACAUCCAGAAGUAGGGUGUGACAGUUACUAGAUAUGCUCUGAAAUUGUUUCAGCCGUAUAGGAUGUUUUCAUUGUAGGCAAGACACCUUGGCAAGUUGUUCCCUGUUUACUCCCCUGAUACCUGCGCCAAUCAGGUCUCAAGAGGGGAAAUGUUAUAACUAUAUCGGCUUAAGAGUCAAGACAGGCCUGUGGCAUCAGUGGCUGAUCAGGGCUGUGCGGGAUGGGUUUGCUGACAACCUUGAGAAGUGUUUUGAAAAGAAGGAGGAUGUUGACAUUCUUAUCAAGAACUGAAGAAGCCAGGCACAUACACUGGAGGGAUGAGUCACACUGGAGGGAUGAGUCAUGGUACCUAUUGAGUUCCUGGGGUCAGAAGGCCCCUCCCCCAGCCUAAGGGGAGGAACUACUGGACACAUUGCUCAAAUACAUUCAGGGGAUAACAAAUGAUAAAACAGGGAUGGGAGUGAGGGUCACAGGGCCACAAGCAGGGAGUCAUGGGGGGUGGGUGAGUCAUGGCAGCUGCAUGAGCAGUCCUGGUCUGACUUCAGGGUUGCCUCACAGAAGGGGACCCCAAUCAGGCACAACAAAUGGAAGCCCCCAAUAAUCAGAAGGUGCUUUUAAAUCUUUAGGCCUUAGUGCCAUGUGGUCGAGGGUAGGUCUGCACAGCAUCUGCGAGGGUUCUUCCCUGCAUGGUUAGAGGUACACGUACUACCUCUGCUUGAGCCAGCAUACUAAAAAUAGAAGUGCAGCAGCGGCUUACACUGGCUGCCUAAGUACGUACCCAGGUGGCUGAAUGGCAGGAUUGUACUCUGAUUGCUAGCUUGAGCUGCCACCCGUGAUCCCACAGCCACACUGCUGCUUUUAACAUGCUAACUCGAGCAGAGCUAGUGCGGGUAUUUCUACCCGGCCUGGGAAGAUCCCACACAGCUAUUGCAUAAACGUAUUCUUGGUAGCUAGCACCCUAUACUGGGAUUCGGGUGAUCAGGGUUCUGUCCCUGGCUCUGUCACUGAGCUGCUGUUGGGCCAGUCAUAACCUUCCCUGUGCCUCAGUUUCCCCAUUUGUAAAAUAGGGAUAAUGAUGCUAAAUCCCCAAUGCUUAGCCUGGGUUAGCCCUAACGGCUACAUAGACCUUGCUUAUUACAGAAGCUUUUAUAACUUUCUCAAACUUAAGAUUGUACCUCAUUUGUGUGUGUCUGUUCACCUGUUUAACUUUGUGAAUAGCUCUCAUUUUCUUCUCCUAUUUAAUAAAUCUUCAUGUAGCUUAUUAUAGGAUUGGCGA
Long non-coding RNA from Chrysemys picta bellii (western painted turtle), 2093 nucleotides. The record is from Ensembl. Lineage: Eukaryota; Metazoa; Chordata; Testudines; Emydidae.